Molecule: non-coding RNA, 24 nt
Filed under: Arabidopsis thaliana (thale cress)
Lineage: Eukaryota; Viridiplantae; Streptophyta; Magnoliopsida; Brassicales; Brassicaceae
Source: RNAcentral
UCCAUGGUUUGCCAAUGGAGGAUC